UUAAGCAUAUCAGUAAGCAGAGGAAAAGAAAACAACCGUGAUUCCCUUAGUAACUGCGAGUGAAGCGGGAAAAGCCCAUCGUUGAAUCUUCCUGGACUGUGGCCAGGACGAAAUGUAACGGUAUGGAUAGUUUCUCUACCAACUCGAACCAUUGCGUGUCCGAUCAAAGUCCUCCGGAUUGAGGUGCCAGAGAGGGUGACAGCCCCGUGUGUGAUUGGACAGGGUUGGGUAUGUGGACGAUUCCGAGAGUCGGGUUGUUUGGGAAUGCAACCUAAAGUAGGUGGUAAACUCCACCCAAGGCUAAAUAUUGACACGAAACCGAUAGCGAACAAGUACUGUGAAGGAAAGUUGAAAAGCACUCUGAAAAGAGAGUGAAAAGUACGUGAAACCGCGAACGGGGAAGCGGAAGGCAGUGUCGAGAUUGAGUGGGUAUUUUGGUUCAAGUCAUGAACGCAAAGGAGCUGUAAACAUGUCAUUUUAUGUGAUGUGGUUAUGGUGACGUUGUGUGAGUGGGUUGUAGCAAAAAAGCCCAGUUGAUGCGUCAGGUCUAUUGGCGUGUGUCGGUUUUUAUUUUUGGAUUGGCUUUCACGACACUUGGAUUGGUGAAAACUGGUUCAAGCURGUGAAUGCGACCAAAAAUCCKCGACAUGUGCUGAUAUGUAAAAAUGCGUAGUGGUACGUGGCAAUACUUUGCUUUGGUCACGUUGUGGCUACAUGGAAAGUGGUUGUGACGGUACACGCGCAAACUAACACUUGAAAAACGAGUGAUGGUGUUGAGUUCCUGACGAGAUACCUAACCUUCCGACCCGUCUUGAAACACGGACCAAGGAGGCAGAAUCCAUAGCGAGUUGGAGGGUGUAAAACCCGACGGCAAAGUGAAAGCGAGAGAUGAGAUCCGGUGGUUUCGACCAGCGGGGCAUCAUCGGCCAGUCACGAUAGAGUGAUUGAGUUUGAGCUGUGGAUGCUGGACCCGAAAGAUGGUGAACUAUGCGUGAGCAGGGUGAAGCCAGAGGAAACUCUGGUGGAGGCUCGAAGCGAUUCUGACGUGCAAAUCGAUCGUUUGACUUGCGUAUAGGGGCGAUAGACUAAUCGAACCAUCUAGUAGCUGGUUCCCUUCGAAAUAUCCCUCAGGAUCGCUGAGACAAGUGGUAAACAGUUUCAUCGGGUAGAGCGAAUGAUUAGAGGAAUCGGGGAUAUAUUACUCUCGACCUAUUCUCAAACUUCCAACCGGUGAGAGUGGCGUUUUCUUGAGUGAAAUGUCGCGGUGAAUGUUUUUGUCUCAAGUGGGCCAUUUUUGGUAAGCAGAACUGGCGAUGCGGGAUGAACCGAGAGUUGAGCUAAGGUGCCUAAGGACACGUUGAUAGAUACCACAAAAGGAGUCGGUCGAUAAAGACAGCAGGGCGGUGGCCCUGAAAGUAGGAAUCCGCUAAGGAGUUGUCUAAAAACUCACCUGCCGAAUCGACCGGCCCUGAAAAUGGAUGGCGCUGAAGCGUGUGACCGAUGCUCGACCUUUACCGCGAGACAUGUCGGUAAAGGGUAGAAGGGCGCGGCGGUGGCGAUAAAGUGCAAAGUGUAAACUUGUAUGGAGCUGCCGUCGGUGUAGAUCUUGGUGGUAGUAGCAAUUAUAAAAGUGAGAACCUUUUAGGCCGAAGUGGAGAAGGGUUCCACGUGAACAGCAGUUGGACGUGGGUUAGUCGGUCCUAAGCGGUUGCCUAACGGCUAUUUCAAUGGCGGCUUUAGUCACGCAAGUGGCAAAAGACUUGCUUUCCGCGAAAGGGAAUCAGGUUAAUAUUCCUGAACCGGGCUUUGGAGACGCUGCCGGCGUAUCAUGCAAAGGUAGCUUAGCGGCAACGCGAGCAAUCUCGGAGACGUUGGCAUUCAUGGCGGGGAGAAUAAUCUUUUCUGCAUAACAGGCGAAUUAGCUCGGAAUCGAGUCAUUCGGAGAUGAGGUAAAAAGCCUGGAAGAGCACGGCAUGUAUUGCAGUGUCCGCAUUGUGGGUGCCGACCCUUGAAAAUCCGAGGGAGUGUGUAAAUUUCAAGUCCGUCCGUACCGAAUCCGCAUCAGGUCUCCUAGGUGAGCAGCCUCUGGCACUGGAAGAAUGUAGGUAAGGGAAGUCGGCAAAAUGGAUCCGUAACUUUGGGAAAAGGAUUGGCUCUAAGGGCCGGGCCAGUCGAGCUAGUAUUGCCUAGGCUAGUGGGGGCUUUGUCGGGUUUGCUGAUUGGCAACUUUGAGCAAAUUUGGUGAGGCAGACGCUGGCCAAGGAAUGCGUGUGUGAACUUGUGGGUUGUAGAGUGGCGGUCGUGUGUGCAUUGGCUUGAUUGUGAGUGUGCAUGUGGGCGUUGCGUUUGCAGCUUGGGGUUCUUUGCGAGUGGCGAGCAUCGGCCAGCUUAGAACUGUUACCAACUAGGGGAAUCCGACUGUUUAAUUAAAACAAAGCAUUGCGAUGGCCGGAAACGGUGUUGACGCAAUGUGAUUU
This 2477-nucleotide ribosomal RNA is filed under the name Kudoa petala. RNAcentral describes it as "partial 28S ribosomal RNA". It matches the Rfam family "Eukaryotic large subunit ribosomal RNA", at positions 34 to 2198 of the family's 3401-position model. Lineage: Eukaryota; Metazoa; Cnidaria; Myxozoa; Multivalvulida; Kudoidae. The record is from RNAcentral.